AAUAAUGUUUAGAACAGUAUUUCGAGGGAUUAAGAUUUUCGUCAUUAGUAACUGGAAAAGGUUGUUUUUUAAAGCGUUUGCUAUUUUUCCUAUUUACAUUAUUUGACACAACGUUCAAUAUGUGAAAAAUCCUGAUUUAUCAAAAUACAACUUAAAAAGUCCAUUUUUUUAUAUUUUCUAAUUAAGGCAGGUUUUAGCAUCCUAUUUGGUUAGAAUAAAGCACAUGCAUUUUGAUGAAACAGUAUGUUUGUUAAUAAUUUGAAACUUAUGACGUUAACAUUAUUAAAAUAUAUAUUAUUAUAUUGGUUUCUUAUAAAGAUUUUUCUAAACUAAGAUAGAUUGUGUUUCAAAUACUAAUCGAUUGUGGACUUUUGACGAGGUAAAUACGUUGUAUAUGGACCUGUUCAGAUUAUAUUGACUGAGGACGAAGUCUAUGGAUAACGUACUGACUGAGUGAAAGUCCUUAAUUUUUACAUUACAUAUGUAAAUAAUAUAUAAGAAAAUGGCAAUUUAUAUUUUACAAAAUAAUUAUCAUGUUAUUGAAACAACCAAUAUUCUUUGACCAACUUUAUAGCUUGUUGCGUUAGCUGUUUUGUAUUCUCAGCGUCUGCAUUUAACAUUCUUGAUAUCUCCUUCUGAUAGACAUGCAAAUUUAUUUUCGUCUGCUGCGGCGCUUCCGCCAUGAUUGUUAUGUGUGACAUCAUGACGUCUUCAAUCUAAAUUAAGCAACAUAUUUUGAAAGACUAUUUUUGUGUGAGUUCCCUAUCAUAUAAACAAUGUGUUUUUACCUUAAAAGCAGCAUCCACUUUCUAAGUAAGUCUUAUUUACUUGAAUUUAAUUAACGGUUUGCAAACUUAAUUGUUUCGAUAAAUUAAGGAUGUGUUACCCAAUAGAUAAAUUUUCCCUUAGCUGUAUUUGUUAGCAAAUUUCAGAAUUUCGGAUAAACAAUUCUCUUCAACUCUGUACAUUUGUGGCCGUUGUUACUGGAUUUUUUUCAAGCGUCACCGAUGAGGGUCUUAUAGAAGAAAAACAACGCAUGUCUGGAGUAGAGAAUUUAAUUCUUGGUAAAAUGGAAUAUAAAUUGAUACUUGGAAAGAGAGUUGUGCUAUUGCACUCAGACCACAUCUUCUUCUAUAUAUAUAGUAUCAAUGGAGGUAAAUGGCUAAAACUAGAUAAAAUAAAAUACAACAACAGUACAACACCCACUUUGCCAUGGCAUUCCAAUACUAGUUGAUUUUAUUGCAUCUUAUAAUAUGCAUUUUAUUUUUAGAUCAAAAAUAUCAGUACUGCAUUUCAUCUUUCUCGGGAUUUUGGCGGUAAGUAUUUCGGUAAACUCAAAUACUGAGAAAGAUCACAUUUAAGAUGUUUCCUAACACUGAAUUUUAUCUAACUUGUUGCUUGUUGCAAAUCACUUUUUUUUUCUCAUUACCUUAAAGCAAAACUUUCAGAUCAUGUUGCUCAUUGUGAUUAUUCGCUCACUUAUCUGUAUUUUAGUUUUUGAAAACAGUACAUGCAUGCUUGAUGAAGUUACUUUUGUAAUCGUUUAGUAAUAAUUUUACUACGUAUAUUCGUCGUAUUAAAAGCAGUUUCAAUAAUAAUGAGAUUCAUUGGUAUUGCAGCUGAAUGUCAACUGUUGAAUUGCAUUCUAAUAUUGGAAUUAUAUUCAAUGUUAAAUGAGUUGCUAAGUCUUAUAAAAAUAACAAUAAAGAUGUUUAGCAUACUAAUUCUGUGAAUAACUGUAUCAAUUAUGAUCCGGGUUUUUUUUUUUUGGAAAACCAAUGUUUACGGCGAAGAAAACAUUUCAUCGAGAUUUGAUUUCGUAGUUCUGCUAUUCAGCAAGCAAGCAACUUAAAACAAACCAUUUGGGAAAGACGUGAUAGUUAAUCUGAAAACAUCUUCAACUUAAUCUUAAAGAUUUGACGUGUAUUUGUACAUUAUAUCUUUUUUUUACAAACGUGCAGUUAAAUCUAAAAGGUUGCUUUUUGGGGAUAUAAUCUUAUUGUUUUUUCUUUAUUCAGCCUUGCAAUAUAUUUAUUUUUUAAUUAUCUAUCUUAAUGAAGAUAUAUGUAUUAUUCCAGAUGUGCAACAUUGGAACACUCGGAUUAGCAAUUAAUAUUAGAUACGAUUCUGUGUUUGGAAACUCAGAUAUAGAGGCAUUGCUGUCGAAGUUCAGAAUAGCAGACCACACGUUUACCAGAGCACUCAACAUUUUUUCAAUCGUUGUUGUAACUUUUUCCUCCACAUCAAUUGCUGUUAUAAUAUUUACAUUUUUUUCCA
RNAcentral lists this long non-coding RNA (2277 nucleotides) under Mytilus galloprovincialis (Mediterranean mussel). Lineage: Eukaryota; Metazoa; Mollusca; Bivalvia; Mytilida; Mytilidae. The record is from RNAcentral.